Molecule: long non-coding RNA, 1095 nt
Filed under: Betta splendens (Siamese fighting fish)
Lineage: Eukaryota; Metazoa; Chordata; Actinopteri; Anabantiformes; Osphronemidae
Description: lncRNA (ENSBSLG00000008979.1)
Source: RNAcentral
AUGACGGAGCGCCGCGAAAUGGCCUGUAAAGAUGCCGCGGCAGAGAAAAGACAACACGCGCCGCUUCCUUCCUGGAUUCCCACAUUGUUCUCGCCAGCGCCGCUCCCCCUGGGCCUCGGGAACGACUCGGCGCACCCCAGACAAAAAACCGCCGGCCUGGGUCUGGUUUAUGGGUCAGACGGGGGUGGAUGGAUGGAUUCGAGGCUUCGUCUCCGGCGCUGGACCAGCAGCUGUGUAAUCAGACCGGGCUCCGACCCCACCUGUCCGGAUGUCCCUCCGCACCCUCCAUCACGUCCGCGUGUCACGCACGCGCUGACGAAUCGCCGGUCGCGUGCAACCUCUGACCCGCGGCCUCCUUCGCCGAGGACGCCCUACUACUGCAAGCCACCGGCAAAUACAGUAGAUUGUUUUUCCUUCGCAGUCAUCGGGCUUUAAUUUAAACUCCCACUGAUUUACUGCUGACAUGUGGCCACUCCAGCUAAUAACAAGAACAUCAUAAAUACACACUUUGGCGGCCUCUGGUUUGGAGGUGGGCUGUGCUCCACUGUUCAGCGAUCAGCGCCGCUGGUCCUUUGUUUGGUUUCACAGGGACACGCUUCAGCUAAAUAUGAAGAGGGCUUAGACGGAGACAAAUACAUGCUGCUGUGAAGGUUCUUUGUGAACUUGACUAAUGGAGGGAUUUGUGAAUAGUUACAUGUAGUUCACAUGUAGAGAUGCCCUUAAACCUGGGACACAUCUAUUAUAAAAACCUUUUGUAUGAUGAGCUGUAGGUCUGUUGUGUUUAUCUUUUAAUUGUGCUUCUUACCAUAAGUUAUGUUAAAUAUUUUGCAUGUUGUUUUAAAAAUUUUCAAUCAUAAAAUGCUACAGUGAUGAUGUUUGGCUAUUAGUUUGUGUUAUUUGAAGGAUUAACUGCUGAUAUUCCUAAAUAGGCAGUUUUGCAAGUAAUGUGUAAUGACGCAAGACGAUUAGCAGCUCCUCACAGCCGUUUUAAAGGCCCGAUCCGCUUUAUACGACCAUCGGGCCAUAACAGGCGCCGCCCGGGUCGGGCCCACGGAUGCUCGGAGGCCUCUGUUGAGAACACUGAGCUCUGUAUUU